AAACUGAUGAGAAAAUGUUUGACUGUGUACGGAUGCCCAGUCUAGCGUGGAGCCAGUCCGUCUGCCGGCCGACUGCCCUCCUGGAGACUCGAGAACAUCCGAUCCUCCUGUGGAGAGAGAGAGAGAAAGAGAGCAGAGUCAUAAUAUGGUGCUUACAGAGCUGAAGAAUGUGUCUGGAGCUGGGCGGCCGGGGCAGCGUGGCGCAGGGAUAAUGUCUAUGUUGCUUUCUGGGAGUCCUGUUUUAAAAGGGAUGAGGUGGGGCCAGGCAGACUGCUGAGUAAGCUAGCCACGACGCGGUCGCCCUCUAGAACAAACAACGGCACGAAAAGAAAGAUUCCCUGGCCCCUAUGCAUUGCAACACUGGAAAUAGACAGCUGUGACACUUAAUGUGAUGUGUAAGCAAAGUAAUGGUCACUUUGUAAAUCAAAUUUAAUGAAAAGAUGAGAUGUUUGAAGAACACUAAAUGCCCUGUUCUACAGACAAAUAAAGUACUUGAGCUUUGA
Carassius auratus (goldfish) is the source of this 503-nucleotide long non-coding RNA. RefSeq lists it as uncharacterized. The transcript has 2 exons. NCBI's taxonomy places the organism in Eukaryota, Metazoa, Chordata, Actinopteri, Cypriniformes, Cyprinidae. The record is from RefSeq and is a predicted model, not a curated record.